AACAGUAUAAAACAAAGAGAUUAUCACAUGCGCAGGUUAGCUGCAGUUGAACAAAAACGAAAGGAAAAAGGAAGAUUUGAAGUCUCUAUUUUCGUCUGUAUUUAUCACUAAACGCUGACUCUGACACAUAAUUUGGCAAUUGCUUGUACGAUUGGACAAAAAAAAAGUACCCGUAUGAGUUCUCAUAUGUCUUUUAAGUAGACUUGGCCGGUCGAAGGCUUUUCUGCAGACUUCACAAGGUGAGAUUGCAGUGAAGUCCUUUAUUUCGUCCAUCGAUGUUGAUGAUGUAGUUGAGUUGUCAGUUGUACUAUCAACCAGUGAUAAUAAGGAUCCAGAAGAAUCGCUCAACACAGACUUUUGUUCAUCCUCACUAAUCGGCGGAGAUAGUGAGUCAAUAGGGUGAUCACUCUCCCAUGACGCUGGGAAGUCUUGAAGACGGACUCGAGAUAUUUUAAAGAAGUUCUCACAGUUUUCUUUAACGCUUCAGCAGUUAGUUACUGCAAGCCUGAGAAAAAUUCAGAGAGGGGCUGAAUCGUUCACACUACAUAUGUAUGAGCAAAAGAGAUGCACGUAAUUGGUGGGUUAAAACACCGACGUCGGAUGCUACCUACAACUGCUACUGCACAAUCAGACGGACAAGCAGGCACGCCAGUUAAUAUUCAUCAAACAUAUACAUACUAUAUACUUUUUCGUUUUACAUUUCAUGCACCAAGAAGAAAGCUGCUAUUUCCGGUUGUGACCUACUUUAACGAAAAGAACGAAGGAUGCCACUCAAUAUUGGACUCACAUUUUAUUAGUCCCAAGUGUUUAAAAUGCAAAAUGAAUCUCCGCACCCAUUUCUUUCAAUGCUCAACAAAUACUGCGUGAUCAGGAUCGCUUGAAUCGGCCAUGACCUUCUUGAAGAAAAACUGCAAACACUUAAAAUACCAAUACCAUUCAGACAUAACAUACUCACAAGACACACAAGCAUACACAUACUAAAAGUCGUCUCGCGGACAAGACCAGCGGCCAUCCAGCAAAAUUAAGAGUCAGGCUCAUUUAACUCAAUGCUCCACUACGUUACCAAAACAAGAUCAACAUUACACAACGCUACGGCUAUCAAUUGAUCUCAAACAAACUCGUCUUGAACGCUCUGGCACGGGUACGAGCACCUGCUCACGUUUGGGCACUGUGGCAUAUGUAUGUAUGUACUACCUUUAUUCGUUGCUUGCAGGCAUCGUUUGAUGUACAUACAUAUGUAUUUAUGUAUUAACAGGUAGCAACUUGACUUCUCCCCAAGAGGAAGACCGUUUUGGCGUCCGUCACCUGUUGCAUUGUGAGGUGAGCGAGCGGCUUGUUAUCAUUACCUCAAUAUUCUGCAGUCCCUUUAGUUUUCUGCUGUUGCCGUUGCCGUUGCAUUAUUGUACUCUUCUUGAGUGGCAAUUAGAGUUUUACCUAGGGUAUUUUGAAUGAAUUUCAGUGUGAGCGGUUAUUUCUCAGGAUCAUUGGCAGAACUUGCUUGUGCUUCUUACUUUUGCACUCUUUCCAUCUCUGUCUCUCUCUCUCUCUGUCAUACCUACAAGUCAACACUAAAAAGUUGCUUACCGAGUUACACUCAACAAAUCCACUUCCACUUCUGGACGGAACAGGUGCAGGCACCUGGCCCGCAACUACUACUCCCAUUCAUAACGUCGAUGUCGUAAUUUUACUCAAGUCUUUAGUCAAAAUCCGGUUUCUUAAAGUUGAGUGAAAAUGUAGUAAGAAUAUUUUCUUGUCUGGUCUGUGCUAUCGGCAUCUCUUUCAUUGCUUUGGAUGAGUAAAAUAGACACGCCCACUUUUAUACUC
This is a long non-coding RNA of Drosophila montana, 1824 nucleotides long. RefSeq lists it as uncharacterized. The transcript is spliced from 6 exons. The record is from RefSeq and is a predicted model, not a curated record. NCBI's taxonomy places the organism in Eukaryota, Metazoa, Arthropoda, Insecta, Diptera, Drosophilidae.